RNAcentral lists this ribosomal RNA (406 nucleotides) under Acinetobacter junii. RNAcentral describes it as "partial 23S ribosomal RNA". It matches the Rfam family "Bacterial large subunit ribosomal RNA", at positions 408 to 814 of the family's 2925-position model. Lineage: Bacteria; Pseudomonadati; Pseudomonadota; Gammaproteobacteria; Moraxellales; Moraxellaceae. The record is from RNAcentral.
AUGAGUAGGGCGGGACACGUGGUAUCCUGUCUGAAUAUGGGGGGACCAUCCUCCAAGGCUAAAUACUCCUGACUGACCGAUAGUGAACCAGUACCGUGAGGGAAAGGCGAAAAGAACCCCGGCGAGGGGAGUGAAAAAGAACCUGAAACCGUGUACGUACAAGCAGUGGGAGCACAGGUUUACCUGUGUGACUGCGUACCUUUUGUAUAAUGGGUCAGCGACUUAUAUUCUGUAGCAAGGUUAACCGUAUAGGGGAGCCGUAGGGAAACCGAGUCUUAACCGGGCGUUAAGUUGCAGGGUAUAGACCCGAAACCCGGUGAUCUAGCCAUGGGCAGGUUGAAGGUUGGGUAACACUAACUGGAGGACCGAACCGACUAAUGUUGAAAAAUUAGCGGAUGACCUGUGG